This 275-nucleotide ribosomal RNA is filed under the name uncultured bacterium. RNAcentral describes it as "partial 16S ribosomal RNA". It matches the Rfam family "Bacterial small subunit ribosomal RNA", at positions 338 to 604 of the family's 1533-position model. The record is from RNAcentral.
CCUACGGGUGGCUGCAGUAGGGAAUUUUGCACAAUGGGCGCAAGCCUGAUGCAGCAAUACCGCGUGAGUGAAGAAGGCCCUUGGGUUGUAAAGCUCUUUCGGCCAAGAAGAAGGGUCCAUCUGCGAACAGUUGGUGGAUCUGACGGUACUGGAAGAAGAAGCACCUGCUAACUACGUGCCAGCAGCAGCGGUAAUACGUAGGGUGCAAGCGUUGUUCGGAAUUACUGGGCGUAAAGCGCGCGUAGGCGGGUCUGAAAGUCGAUUGUGAAAUCCCU